This 244-nucleotide ribosomal RNA is filed under the name uncultured bacterium. RNAcentral describes it as "partial 16S ribosomal RNA". It matches the Rfam family "Bacterial small subunit ribosomal RNA", at positions 15 to 254 of the family's 1533-position model. The record is from RNAcentral.
GAUCCUGGCUCAGGACGAACGCUGGCGGCGCGCCUAACACAUGCAAGUCGAACGAGCGAGAGAGAGCUUGCUUUCUCGGGCGAGUGGCGAACGGGUGAGUAACGCGUGAGGAACCUGCCUCAAAGAGGGGGACAACAGUUGGAAACGACUGCUAAUACCGCAUAAGCCCACGGGUCGGCAUCGACCUGAGGGAAAAGGAGCAAUCCGCUUUGAGAUGGCCUCGCGUCCGAUUAGCUAGUUGGUG